This 581-nucleotide ribosomal RNA is filed under the name uncultured bacterium. RNAcentral describes it as "bacterial SSU rRNA". It matches the Rfam family "Bacterial small subunit ribosomal RNA", at positions 267 to 859 of the family's 1533-position model. The record is from RNAcentral.
ACCAAGGCGACGACGGGUAGCCGGCCUGAGAGGGCGACCGGCCACACUGGGACUGAGACACGGCCCAGACUCCUACGGGAGGCAGCAGUGGGGAAUAUUGCGCAAUGGGCAAAAGCCUGACGCAGCGACGCCGCGUGGGGGAUGAAGGCCUUCGGGUUGUAAACCCCUUUCGGCAGGGACGAAGCGAAAGUGACGGUACCUGCAGAAGAAGCGCCGGCUAACUACGUGCCAGCAGCCGCGGUAACACGUAGGGCGCAAGCGUUGUCCGGAAUCAUUGGGCGUAAAGAGCUCGUAGGCGGUCUGUUGCGUCCGCUGUGAAAACUCGGGGCUUAACCCCGAGCUUGCAGUGGAUACGGGCAGACUAGAGGUAGGUAGGGGAGAAUGGAAUUCCCGGUGUAGCGGUGAAAUGCGCAGAUAUCGGGAGGAACACCGGUGGCGAAGGCGGUUCUCUGGGCCUUACCUGACGCUGAGGAGCGAAAGCGUGGGGAGCGAACAGGAUUAGAUACCCUGGUAGUCCACGCCGUAAACGUUGGGCGCUAGGUGUGGGAUCCUUCCACGGAUUCCGUGCCGCAGCUAACGCA